GGAUCAGUCAGUCGACGUGUGCAUUAUUCUCGUAUGUGUUGCGACUAUUUCGGAUUCUAGAAUCUUCCGUUUUAGAGCGACAUGGUUUUCCAGGCAGCUUAGUUUUCUGACUACCUUGCGCUUUGACGGCUUCGAACUCUGUUUUCUGUUGCAAAACUGGGUUUUUGGUGUGUUUUAAGUGUUGGUCGUGGUGACGAGAGCAAAGAGAUGGGAAUGGUUUUGUCUGUGACGCGACGAGCCUGAGUUGUUGAUGAUCCGUUAGAUUGUGGAGGUUUGUUUUCUUGCUGCUGUGAAGUUGCGUGGGCCUACGGUCGUAGUCCGUGAAGAAAACUUGGAAAUCGGCCAUAUGGCGGAGGCACCACAGGUUUUGCCUAUGGACAUGUCCAAGGACGCUCAGUCGCAGCAGCAGCAGCAGCAGCAGCAAACAGAGAAUCAGAAGAGCGGGUUGGAUCGUUACGAAUCGGUCCGUGCCCGACUACUUAAGAUUUCACAGGGUGAAGUAGCAGGAGAAGCCUCGCCUGAAUCUCAUGUGGAGAACAAAGCAAGUCCGAAGUCGACUCACCAGAGUAACGAGGAAGAUGAGUUCCGGCGCAAGUUGAUGUCAAUUUCAUAUGUCGAUGUCCCUUUGCCAGCCCAGUAGGCCAAUGUUGAAGAAGGUUGAGCUCUCGGUGGAACCUUGCCUGUCGAGGGAGCUAUGUACUGGAGAUGAUAUGCGAUGCAUAUUGCUCUAGACAUUGUAAAGUUUGGAUUUUAGAUACCAUAAAAUGUGCUAAGAUUGGGGAUCAGUAGAGCAAUCGUUUCUCAAGGCAGAAAUCUGCCUUUCGAACGAUAAGAAUAUGGUCAGGUGGGUCUACAACCCAUCAAGGUGAAGCAGUAUCAUGUUGUAACUUUUAGGGGUUGGAGGUUUGCUGAGGUUUUACUAUGUAGGUUUGGAACACGCGUUCACCUUGAAUCUUGUAAAGUUGAAGGAACGGAAUGCAUUGUCUACAUAAAAAAGUAAAAAUAAAAAUGGGUGUUUGUGUCGUUGCAAUGGCACACUUUUUUCAGGAUUAA
Molecule: non-coding RNA, 1053 nt
Organism: Physcomitrium patens
Lineage: Eukaryota; Viridiplantae; Streptophyta; Bryopsida; Funariales; Funariaceae
Source: RefSeq, a predicted model, not a curated record